This is a long non-coding RNA of Mustela erminea (ermine), 1389 nucleotides long. RefSeq lists it as uncharacterized. The record is from RefSeq and is a predicted model, not a curated record. The transcript is spliced from 3 exons. NCBI's taxonomy places the organism in Eukaryota, Metazoa, Chordata, Mammalia, Carnivora, Mustelidae.
UCUUUCCUUCUCUCCUCAUCCCCCCUCCCCCUCUCCCUCCCUUUCCUUCUCUUCCCUUAAAACCCUUCACACUGGAACCUCGGUGCUGAAGCCAACGCCUCUACUGAACAACCCUUUAACAAAGACCGUCAUACUAUACUCCAGAGAAAUAAAACUGGAGAGGCAACCUGGCAACUCAGAAAGAAAUCAUAAACAUCUGAAGAUUCAGCUACGUGCUCUAGAAAUCACAGUUCACCAGACAGAGGUGCUGAAGAGCAGCAAAACAGCCAACCGGCGCCCACGGCGGGGUGGGGGGGGGGUGGGAGGGCAGAGGGGGGUCAGAUUUGCUAACCCCAAAUCUGACAACGAGGCCCUAACGCUUGGACACUCAUUGCUACCGCACGAUGAAGGUUUUAGCUCUGGAUGUCUCCCGGAAAGCCAAGAAAGAGUCAUAUAGAAGGAGCGUUCUAACACAAACAAUGUGUUAGGAGAAUAUAUUUUAAACAGCCUUAAAAUGGGAUAAACAGGGCGCAAAGGCUUUAGCACAAGUAAUUGAGAAGAGACCACCAUCUGUCUCGGUUAAAUUAUCCUCCUACUCCCCAGUUUUCUUUUUUCUUUUCCACAGCUCUUUAAAACAAAGUGGAGGAGAAAAGGUAUUAUCUACAUAUUAUCCAAUAUGUGAGCUAACUAAGCGUCGAUGAAUUCCAUCUGAAGACGAGUACCAAUAAUCAAAUGUGCAGAGUGAGGCAGGAGGAUUCCGCUCUCAAGGUCUGCCCCAGAAAUCCCUGCAGGCUCACUUUCAUUCUCAUUAGUCUUUGGGCUCUGCUGAGAGACUCUUUUCUUUCCUUCUUGACCAGAGGGCCUAUGAACGUACAUCUGGCUACUUGUACGUGGACCACAGGAGGCCUCCAGAAAGGCUCUCUCCAUGAACACCCAGGAAGGCUCUCUCCAUGAACGCCCCCACCCCCAAACCCUAGGAAGAAUCUCUGGUAGCAACAGGAGGGAACUGUGUGUCUAUGUUUAGGUAGGUUUAUGGGGAUAAGGACGGUAGGAGCAGGAAGUAAGGAAAUGAGUUCAUAAUUCAUUCUUUAAACAAUGACCCUCACAACCUGAUUUUGGCCCCAAGAUGAAAUGUGGUGGGUCACAACAAUAUUCUGUCACUUCCCCCCAUCUCUCCAGCUGGGGAGAGAAGUGAUCCAAGAAUAUGGCAAGUCCCAGGGAAACCAGGAAAUGUGCUGGAAUCCUGCUGCUGUCCCAAAUUUAGAAAAUAGGAAGUAAAUCACCUCACAGCACAAACUCAGGAUGGUCCAGACUUGGGAAAAGGAGAGACAGGGGUGGUGGAAAUAGAAUUAUGAGGAAGGGAAGAACAAGACCCCUUCAGAAAGAAUGUCGUUGGUUCUCGCAUUCAGA